ACGACGCUGGCGGCGUGCUUAACACAUGCAAGUCGAACGGGGUCCAUGAGAGCUUGCUCUCGGAAGACCUAGUGGCGAACGGGUGAGUAACACGUGAGAAACCUGCCUCGGAGUGGGGAAUAACUCGAGGAAACUCGAGCUAAUACCGCAUACCUUCAUUUGACCGCAUGGUCAGUUGAAGAAAGAUUUAUCGCUCUGAGAGGGUCUCGCGGCCUAUCAGCUUGUUGGUGGGGUAACGGCCUACCAAGGCAACGACGGGUAGCUGGAUUGAGAGAUCGACCAGCCACACUGGAACUGAGACACGGUCCAGACUCCUACGGGAGGCAGCAGUGGGGAAUCUUGCGCAAUGGGCGAAAGCCUGACGCAGCAACGCCGCGUGCGGGAUGAAGGCCUUCGUGGUUGUAAACCGCUUUCAGUAGGGACGAAAAUGACGGUACCUGCAGAAGAAGCUCCGGCUAACUACGUG
This 466-nucleotide ribosomal RNA is filed under the name uncultured bacterium. Its description in RNAcentral is "bacterial SSU rRNA". It matches the Rfam family "Bacterial small subunit ribosomal RNA", at positions 33 to 507 of the family's 1533-position model. The record is from RNAcentral.